CGCACGUCGCGUGGUGUCCGGU
RNAcentral lists this non-coding RNA (22 nucleotides) under Arabidopsis thaliana (thale cress). Lineage: Eukaryota; Viridiplantae; Streptophyta; Magnoliopsida; Brassicales; Brassicaceae. The record is from RNAcentral.